CGCGUAGGCGGUUCGUUAAGUUGCUGGUGAAAUCCCGGGGCUCAACUCCGGGGCUGCCAGUAAGACUGGCGAGCUAGAGCACGGUAGAGGCGGAUGGAAUUCCCGGUGUAGCGGUGGAAUGCGUAGAUAUCGGGAAGAAUACCGGUGGCGAAGGCGUUCCGCUGGGCCGUUGCUGACGCUGAGGCGCGACAGCGUGGGGAAGCAAACA
RNAcentral lists this ribosomal RNA (208 nucleotides) under uncultured bacterium. RNAcentral describes it as "partial 16S ribosomal RNA". It matches the Rfam family "Bacterial small subunit ribosomal RNA", at positions 568 to 774 of the family's 1533-position model. The record is from RNAcentral.